This is a long non-coding RNA of Odontomachus brunneus, 1265 nucleotides long. RefSeq lists it as uncharacterized. NCBI's taxonomy places the organism in Eukaryota, Metazoa, Arthropoda, Insecta, Hymenoptera, Formicidae. The record is from RefSeq and is a predicted model, not a curated record. The transcript has 4 exons.
UAUGAUUUAACUAUCUGUUAAUUUACCAAAAAAUUGGAACAACUAGUCCUUACUGAGAUCCAUUCAAACAUGGAGAGGAUACGCAUCAACCAAAGAAAUUCGACUAUUCAAUCAUUAAUGCCACACGUACGUGGUUCUUUUAAAUGCAUAACCUCUCCAUCAGUUUUCGAAUGGAACCGCGCUUCGUUAUAGUAUAUUCCGGAGUUGCUGCUGACCAUGUAUUCCGAUAGAAUCAGCUGCUGUAUCCUAUGCAUUUUUUACACUCGAAAGGAAACGAAUAUAUGUACUCGCUUUGAAGAAGGAAAGAGAAAAGGAAAUAGUAGGGAAUAUAUCAAAAGAGAAAAUAAUUUAAGAUCUGUUUCUUCUUUUUGCGCUGUGCUAUACUUUUUGCACGCGAGAUAAAUGCAUAUGUUGCUGUGAGUUAGAAGAGAGACAAUUAGCGUAAUUGAUAUAGUUAAAUGGACCAAGCUUUUCGUGCAGCACCGCCGCAUUACGAACCGGAAACGGAUAUUGAGAUGUUGAAAUGGUUGAAAUAUCUUUUUCUCUGAAAUUGAAGAGAUAACGUUUCCGUCUUCUUUCCGACUAUAUACUUUAUACUUACGUUGUUCCUUUUGUGUUGUUUUCCUUUCUAAGGUUUUGUAAUUGGAAUUUGCUUCUAUUGCUUUCAUUGCAUCGUAGAACUAUCUCAAGGACUGUAACGAAAAUAAAGACUGACGUUAAUUCCAUUAUAUGAAUAAAGGCAUUGGGUUGACAAAGUAUUCAGAUCAUGUCAGGUCCAUGGUCUUUAAUUGGAAGAGACGAUAAUACUUCUUAUCAAGAUGUAUUUUAUACCCACAAUAGUGUCACUGCAGUCAUCACACCGAAAAAAUUCAUGCAAUACAGCCAAUGAGAUUUAAAUAGAGAUUAAAUAAAGUAGAGACUAGAUAUAGAAAAUUUAAAAGAACAAGCAUAAUUAUAGAACCAGAUGACAUCUUCAGAUAAAUUUUUUUGUAGAACCAGAUGACAUCUUCAGAUAAAAUCAGAUUUAUGGCCUUUAAUCGGAGAAGACGGAAACGCUUCCCAUCAAGAUGUAUUUUACGCCCACGAUAACAUUAUUGCAGUCGUCAUUUAAGCUAAGAGGUCGUCGUUCAUCGGUGCGCUUCUUACCAUCAAAUAAUACAAAUAAAUUCUUAAAUAGUACAUAAGAUAGAAAAGUAAUUUUAUAUUAAUUAGAAACAAUGACAUAAAUUUCAUUUUACAUAAAUUUUUGUCUGCAUUUUCUCAUA